RNAcentral lists this ribosomal RNA (497 nucleotides) under uncultured bacterium. RNAcentral describes it as "partial 16S ribosomal RNA". It matches the Rfam family "Bacterial small subunit ribosomal RNA", at positions 28 to 507 of the family's 1533-position model. The record is from RNAcentral.
GAUGAACGCUGGCGGCGUGCCUAAUACAUGCAAGUCGAGCGAACGGACGAGAAGCUUGCUUCUCUGAUGUUAGCGGCGGAAGGGUGAGUAACAUGUGGAUAACCUACCUAUAAGACUGGGAUAACUUCGGGAAACCGUAGCUAAUACCGGAUAAUAUUUUGAACCGCAUGGUUCAAAAGUGAAAGACGGUCUUGCUGUCACUUAUAGAUGGAUCCGCGCUGCAUUAGCUAGUUGGUAAGGUAACGGCUUACCAAGGCAACGAUGCAUAGCCGACCUGAGAGGGUGAUCGGCCACACUGGAACGGAGACACGGUCCAGACUCCUACGGGAGGCAGCAGUAGGGAAUCUUCCGCAAUGGGCGGAAGCCUGACGGAGCAACGCCGCGUGAGUGAUGAAGGUCUUCGGAUCGUAAAACUCUGUUAUUAGGGAAGAACAUAUGUUUAAGUAGCUGUGCACAUCUUGACGGUACCUAAUCAGAAAGCCACGGCUAACUACGUG